ACUGGUGUUAAACCUCUACUAUUAUUAUUAUUACUAGAACAAUGACAGAUUUGAGGGAAGAUAUGAGAAACUAUUUAGCACGUUCAGAUACAGAUCAUUCCAAAACAAAGACAGAUUAUAUUGACAUCAUAAAAAAUAGCACAUUUAAAAGUUGGAUAUUUCCAGCAAAGUCUAACGUUAGUGAAGAAACUAACGUACUCAUUGAAGAUUCAGAAUCAAGUGACAUAAACAGAUUGUUUACACAAUCUGAGAAGGAUUCAUGUUUUCCUAGUUUGAGUAAAGGACAGCGAAUAGUUGGAUUUGUGGGAUGUAUUUUAAUUGGCUUUUUUUGUUUCACAUUGGCUGGAUUUUAUGUUCCAUUUCUGUUGUUGAAAUCAAGAAAAUUUGCUCUCUUGUAUAGUCUUGGAAGCUUAUUUAUUAUCUGCAGCUUUUCAUUACUAUGGGGUCCAGUUACUCAUGCCAAGCAUCUGUGUUCCAGGGAAAGAUUGCCAUUUACAAGUAUUUAUUUUGGUACUAUGUUUGCCACCCUUUACUUUGCCUUAUGGGCUCCUUGUCAAGACUGUAAAAGAAACUGUUAUGGAGGUAGCUAAGGAAUGUGUAUUAAGAACAAAAUAAACCAGUUGUUGAAAAAUUGUCAUCUGCUAGGAGCACCAUCCCAACAGCAGUUUGUGCAAUAUGCCAAGUUGUAUCAUUGAUCUGGUAUACAAUAAGUUAUGUUCCAGGAGGACAAACAGGACUUCAUUUCUUC
This 748-nucleotide unclassified non-coding RNA is filed under the name Limulus polyphemus (Atlantic horseshoe crab). RNAcentral's name for it is "protein transport protein SFT2-like, transcript variant X2". Lineage: Eukaryota; Metazoa; Arthropoda; Merostomata; Xiphosura; Limulidae. The record is from RNAcentral.